RNAcentral lists this long non-coding RNA (3474 nucleotides) under Equus caballus (horse). RNAcentral's name for it is "lncRNA (ENSECAG00000056532.1)". Lineage: Eukaryota; Metazoa; Chordata; Mammalia; Perissodactyla; Equidae. The record is from RNAcentral.
CAGGUGCAAUUAAGUUAGCCAAUCAAUAAACCUAACAAUCGAGAGAUUAUCCAGGUGGGCCUGACUUAAUCAUAUAAACUCUUUAAAUCUGGGUGUAGAGGUUAGCGACAGAGAAAUCAGAUACUAGAUGCAUCCUUUCUGACUUGAAGAUGAAGGCAAUUUUGUGACAAGUGAUGCUGGUGGCAUGUAAGACCUGUAAGCAGGCCCCAGCUGACAGUCCGUUAGAAAGGAAACAGGGGCUGCAGUUCUCCAACUGCAAAACACGGAAUUUUGCUUGAAAUUUAACUUGGAAGCAGACUUUCUCCCAGAGCUUCUAGAUGAAAACUCAGCCUGGCCAACCCCUUGGUGUCAGCUUUGUGUUACCCUGAGCAGGUACCCAAGACAUAUGGUUCUGGACUGCGGACCCACGGAAAGGGUGAGCAUCCACAUCUACCACCCGUGACCAGACUUCUCCACCUGUUGGCGAGCUUAAGUUAAAGUUAUCAAUAUAUGCCCCAAAACAGCAAUCACCUGGAUGAGAAGCAGAUGACAUCUAAUGUAGACUGUGAAUCCCAAGACACAGACCAGUGAUGUUGAGCAUCUUUCCAUGUGCUUGUUGGCCAUUUGUAUAUCAUCUUUGAAGACAUGUCCAAGUCCUUUGCCCAUUUUUUGUUAGCCUUGAGCUAACUGCUGCCAAUCGUCCUCUUUUUGCUGAGGAAGACUGGCCCUGAGCUAACAUCCAUGCUCAUCUUCCUCUGCUUUCUAUGUGGGACGCCUACCACAGCAUGGCUUGCCAAGCGGUGCCAUGUCCCCCGCACCUGGGAUCUGAAACUGCAAACCCUGGGCCACUGAAGCAGAACAUGCACACUUAACUGCUGCGCCACCAGCCAGCCUCUGUAUGUGUCUUUCUGAUACUACCUUUUCACUCAACUUUAUGAUUUUGAGGUUCAUCAAUAUUAGUACUUGUGAUAACUACAUCACGUAGAGUUUUACUGCUAUAUAUUAUUUACAUUUAUCAAAAUUACUGAUGUAUUUGAAAGUUUCACCAUCUUGUUUUAUGCUUUCUAAACAUAUUCUCUUAUAUCUUGCGUUUCUAUAUGAGUUUUCAAUUUUUUCCUAUGUGCCCAUUUGUAAAUAUUUUACUUUAUUUUGAUUAAUUUAUAUUUACCAUAAAUUUUUAUUAUGCAAAUUUGAAUUAGUAUUUUUAUUCCUUAUCUCUAUUCUGAAACUUAAAUAUCCAAACAACGUAAAACACUUUAAAUUUAAUUACUCAACUAUUUAUCUUUAACACUCUUGUUUUUCAAGGUAUUAGUCUUUGUGAUAUAAUAUUUUUAGGUAUAUUGACAUAAAUACUUGCUAAUAUUUAUUUUAGGAUCGUUGCACCUAAAUUCAUGAAUGAAACUAAUCUAUAAUUUUCCUUCCUUGUAAUGUCCAUGUCAAAUUUGGGAUUCAGGUUAGAAUUUGCCCAAAGAAAAUUUUCUUCUUUUCUAUUCUGGAAAAAGAGUUCAUUGAAGUUUCGUGUAAUUUCCUCCUUUAGUAUUUGAGGGAAAACUCACUGUUGAUGCCAUCUGGAGCUGGAAAUUUCUCUGCAAAGACUUGAAUUUCUUCAAAAUAGAUAAAACUUUAAUGUUUUCUUUUCUUUCCCAUUUUCCUUUUCUUCAAGCAUGUACAAAGGCGUGUUUUCUUCUAAAAAAAUAUUGCAAAUUGCAAUCAUUUGCAACCAUUCAAAUUGUCAAAUUUAUUGGCACAUAUUUCUUUUAGUUCAUUUUCAUGAUCAAUAUUUUUCAUCCAACUAUAAACAUAUCUUUGUCUUUAUAUUUAACAUAUUUCUCUUAAGCAACACAGCUUUAUUUUCAUCCAUUCUGAUAAUCAAUUUUACUUUUACUAUCAAUAUUCUAUUUGACCAUCUGCUUGAAUUUCCACUUUUAGUCCUUUCCUGCUAUCUUUUGGACUAAUAAGUUUUUAAUUAUUACACUUUUUCUAUUACUUUCUUGGCUCCUUUCCCCUUUACAACUUCUUAUUCUUAUAAUGGAUACGUGGAAGCAUCCUUGAUUUAUUGUAGUCCAAAACAAAUUAUUAUUUUUAUCAAUUCCCUGGUAUUGCUAAAAUAUUAGAAUAUUUAAACUCUAUUUCCCUCUUCUAUAUUUUAUUUUAUUUAUUUUAGUUUUACAUAUAUUUUAAACUCUAUAAACAUUAUUUUUACAGUCAAAUUUUUAUAUUUACUCAUACAUUUAUCAUUUUUGAUAUUCUUCAUUUGCUGCUAUAUUCCUGCAUUACAGACCUUAUUUAUUUUACUUCUGCCUGACAAGCUCAUAGUUUUUUCUGCUGGCUGUUGACAAAUGCCUCUGGUUUUGUUUAUCUGAAAAGUCUUUAUUUCAACUUGAUUUUGGAAGGCUAUUUUUAUUGUGUGUAAAAUUCAACAUUAGCAAUUAUUUUCUUCCAGGACAUUGCAAAUGCCAUUCCGUAAUGCCCUGAAUUUCAUCUUUUAAAAGUUAGCUGUCAUUGUCAUUGUUUUCCCUUCAAAGGCCUGUGUUCCCUGCCCCACAUGUAAACACCUGGCUGUUUUGAAGAUUUUUCCUUUUUGUCCCUGGUUGUCUGCAGCUUUACUAUAAUGUUCUCUGAUUUGGUUUUUCUUGUAUUUAACUUUCGGACUUUACUGAGCUUCUUAAAUGUGUAGAUUAAUACUUUCCAUUAGUUGCAGAUAAUUGUCACCCAUUGUCUCUUCAUAUAUUGGUUUUGUUUUCUCCCCUCCCCUCCCUUCUCAUUCUAGGUUUCUUUCUAUAUAUAUGUUAGUCAAUUUGAGCAUGUAUAAUAUGUCAAGACUGUUUUGUAAUUUUUGAUUAUUUUAUACUCUGUGCUACUCCCUAGAUAUUUUCAGUUGAAAAACUUAUGUUAGUCUGUGUUCAAUUUUCUGAUAAUCCUUCCUUUUAGUUAUUCAUUUCAUGUACUGUCACUUUGAAUUCUAGAAUUUUAUGUGUAUUUUACAAUUUAAUACUAUCAAAAUUCUCCAUCUCUUCCUCUCUUUUGUUAGUUUCCCCCUCUAUUUUCUUUAGCAUAUUAAUUAGAGAUCUUUUAACAUCUUUGCCUAUUCUAACUUGAUUGUCUUUGGAUAUGUUCUAAUUGCCUAUUCAUUUUUUUCUCUAGUCAUAUUUCCAUGCCUCGCUUCUAUUUUCAGUGUAUACGAUUGUGUGUGUGUGAGUGUGGAUUUUCUAAUUGCAUGCGGAUCAUUAUUCAUAAACAAACUGUUGAUGUUCCAGGUGAUGAUAUCAUUUUCCAGUGAAUAUUCCCCUUUCCUCUAUUACACAGAUAUGAGAACAAGCAACAGAUUUUUUAUUUUGAUAUUUGUUAUUGUCAAAUUGAUCACUCUUUCUGUUUAUGAUUUGUAUUAAUUCUUUCUUAUUUAAGAAAGUCUUAUUCAGUGCAAAAUCAUAAAAUUUGCCCCCUUUUCUGUUCCCUGGUAGUUUUCUAGUUUGUGUUUUGACAUUUAAGCCAAUA